Molecule: unclassified non-coding RNA, 267 nt
Filed under: Zea mays
Lineage: Eukaryota; Viridiplantae; Streptophyta; Magnoliopsida; Poales; Poaceae
Description: misc RNA Zm00001eb074920
Source: RNAcentral
CUGCCCUGGUCCGCCUCGGCUUCUCGAUCUGACGAGGGAGGCAUUUUGUUCCGUUGGAAAUCAUCCCUGACAGCUAGAAGAGCGGGCGGGCGGGCGGAAUCGACAGCCGGAGCCGCGACAAGAGCUGUGGGAUCUGUAUUCAUCAAUGCGGUGGCCCUGAGGUUUGCCGUCGCAGGAAGAAAUGGCGUGGAAGUCAUGUGGUGCAUUGCUUCUAGACCGUCUCGUGGCUGCACGGACCCGGGCCGGGGGCUGGGCACGGGAGGAUAG